AUACGGAGGGUGCGAGCGUUAAUCGGAAUUACUGGGCGUAAAGGGUGCGUAGGCGGCUUGAUAAGUCGGAUGUGAAAGCCCCGGGCUUAACCUGGGAAUUGCAUUCGAUACUGUCAGGCUAGAGUAUGUCAGAGGUUGGCGGAAUUCCUGGUGUAGCGGUGAAAUGCGUAGAUAUCAGGAGGAACACCAGUGGCGGAGGCGGCUAACUGGGGCAAUACUGACGCUGAGGCACGAAAGCGUGGGGAGCAAACAGGAUUAGAAACCCUAGUAGUCC
Molecule: ribosomal RNA, 274 nt
Filed under: uncultured bacterium
Lineage: Bacteria
Description: partial 16S ribosomal RNA
Rfam family: Bacterial small subunit ribosomal RNA
Source: RNAcentral